RNAcentral lists this small RNA (16 nucleotides) under Arabidopsis thaliana (thale cress). RNAcentral describes it as "ATSL070410". The record is from RNAcentral. Lineage: Eukaryota; Viridiplantae; Streptophyta; Magnoliopsida; Brassicales; Brassicaceae.
GUUGGUUAGUGUUUUA